CCUACGGGAGGCUGCAGUGAGGAAUAUUGGUCAAUGGACGAGAGUCUGAACCAGCCAAGUAGCGUGAAGGAUGACUGCCCUAUGGGUUGUAAACUUCUUUUAUAAGGGAAUAAAACGAGGCACGUGUGCCCUUUUGCAUGUACUUUAUGAAUAAGGAUCGGCUAACUCCGUGCCAGCAGCCGCGGUAAUACGGAGGAUCCGAGCGUUAUCCGGAUUUAUUGGGUUUAAAGGGAGCGUAGAUGGGUUGUUAAGUCAGUUGUGAAAGUGUGCGGCUCAACCGUAAAAUUGCAAUUGAUACUGGCAGUCUUGAGUACAGUUGAGGUAGGCGGAAUUCGUGGUGUAGCGGUGAAAUGCUUAGAUAUCACGAAGAACCCCGAUUGCGAAGGCAGCUUACUAACCUGUGACUGACAUUGAUGCACGAAAGUGUGGGUAUCAAACAGGAUUAGAUACCCUAGUAGUC
Molecule: ribosomal RNA, 460 nt
Filed under: uncultured bacterium
Lineage: Bacteria
Description: partial 16S ribosomal RNA
Rfam family: Bacterial small subunit ribosomal RNA
Source: RNAcentral